UGGGGGAUAUUGCACAAUGGGCGCAAGCCUGAUGCAGCGACGCCGCGUGGGGGAUGAAGGCCUUCGGGUUGUAAACUUCUUUUGCUCUGAACAAGGCGCACUUUGGGGUGUGUUGAGUGUAGGGGUUGAUUAGCGCCGGCUAACUACGUGCCAGCAGCCGCGGUAAUACGUAGGGCGCGAGCGUUGUCCGGAAUUAUUGGGCGUAAAGGGGUUGUAGGUGGCUGGUUGCGUCUGUCGUGAAAGCUCAUGGCUUAACUGUGGGGUGGCGGUGGGUACGGGCUGGCUUGAGUGCAGUAGGGGAGGCUGGAAUUCCGGGUGUAGCGGUGGAAUGCGCAGAUAUCAGGAGGAAUACCGGUGGCGAAGGCGGGUCUCUGGGCUGUUACUGACACUGAGGAGCGAAAGCAUGGGGAGCGAACAGG
Molecule: ribosomal RNA, 419 nt
Filed under: bacterium
Lineage: Bacteria
Description: partial 16S ribosomal RNA
Rfam family: Bacterial small subunit ribosomal RNA
Source: RNAcentral